Molecule: transfer RNA, 76 nt
Filed under: Candidatus Iainarchaeum sp.
Lineage: Archaea; Nanobdellati; Candidatus Iainarchaeota; Candidatus Iainarchaeia; Candidatus Iainarchaeales; Candidatus Iainarchaeaceae
Description: tRNA-Arg
Rfam family: tRNA
About the family: Transfer RNA (tRNA) molecules are approximately 80 nucleotides in length. Their secondary structure includes four short double-helical elements and three loops (D, anti-codon, and T loops).
Source: RNAcentral
GGACCGGUAGCUCAGCCAGGAUAGUAGCGCUUCCCUCCUAAGGAAGAGGUCCUGGGUUCAAAUCCCAGCCGGUCCG